RNAcentral lists this unclassified non-coding RNA (223 nucleotides) under Hevea brasiliensis (rubber tree). The record is from RNAcentral. Lineage: Eukaryota; Viridiplantae; Streptophyta; Magnoliopsida; Malpighiales; Euphorbiaceae.
AGAAAAGUCACUCCAUAUCUUCUUCAUGUAUCAGACAUGGCAUACAUAAUCAAGGAGAAAGGUACCUCUCACUUGAUCUUUCUAACUUAAAGUUGAGGUCAAUUAUGGUCUUCGAUCCACAUUUUCGUAAUGUGUUCCAACAUAUAGAUAUGUUUCGACAUCUAUAUGUGUUGUACUUGAAUAUUAAAUAUGGUGGUGUUGUACCUGGAUCCAUUGGGAGUUU